GAGUUUGAUCGUGGCUCAGAACGAACGCUGGCGGCGUGGAUAAGACAUGCAAGUCGAACGGGAGAAUUGCUAGCUUGCUAAUAAUUCUCUAGCGGCGCACGGGUGAGUACACGUGAGUAACCUGCCCCGAGAGCGGGAUAGCCCUGGGAAACUGGGAUUAAUACCGCAUAGUAUCGGAAGAUUAAAGCAGCAAAUGCGCUUGGGGAUUGGGCUCGCGGCCUAUUAGUAGUU
RNAcentral lists this ribosomal RNA (231 nucleotides) under uncultured microorganism. RNAcentral's name for it is "partial 16S ribosomal RNA". It matches the Rfam family "Bacterial small subunit ribosomal RNA", at positions 9 to 250 of the family's 1533-position model. The record is from RNAcentral.